RNAcentral lists this transfer RNA (72 nucleotides) under Sus scrofa (pig). It matches the Rfam family "tRNA". Rfam says of the family: Transfer RNA (tRNA) molecules are approximately 80 nucleotides in length. Lineage: Eukaryota; Metazoa; Chordata; Mammalia; Artiodactyla; Suidae. The record is from Rfam by way of RNAcentral.
UCCCUGGUGGUCUAGUGGUUAGGGCUUAGCACUUUCUCUGCUGCUACCUGGGUUCAAUCCCUGGUCUGGGAG